Symphalangus syndactylus (siamang) is the source of this 1207-nucleotide long non-coding RNA. RefSeq lists it as uncharacterized. Lineage: Eukaryota; Metazoa; Chordata; Mammalia; Primates; Hylobatidae. The record is from RefSeq and is a predicted model, not a curated record.
UCAACGCUAAAUCUCCAACAGCUCAGGUAGGGGAAGAAAAAGUAAUAAAUUAGAAAGCACAAUAAGAAUGAACAGUACAGGAAAAAAAAAAAAAACGCCUUCAGAGCGACAGUGAUUUUGAUGCUCUGGCUAAUGAGCAGAGCAGGGCGCAGGCGAGGACGCGUUCCAGUGGCUCUGCCUCGCGCCAGCAUCCUGGUGCCGGGCAUAAUUACCAGCUGAUGUGUUGGGAGCCUGCGGAGGAGCCCCCUGUUUCAUGGAGGACUACCAAGAGGGGCCGUUAUUGAAAAAAACUUCCUCUCUCCAAAACCUGGCCAAGGAGUGAGGACUUCACGGAGCAAGCAGGAGCCGGGCUUUCUCAACCACUCCCGAGGUAUUCACCCAAGAGAAAGGAAAACACGUCGGAUGAAAAUCCGUGUGCAAAUGUGCACAGCACUUUUAUUCAUACUAGCCCCAAACUGGAACCACUCAAAUAUCAAUGAAAUGGUUGAAUGAAGAAACAAAUUAUGAUAUCCAUGCACCAGACCACUCCUCAGCAAUGAAAACCAAAUGAAUGCAGACACCUGCCACAACACGGGUCAAUCUCAAAAGCAAUUAUGCUAAGGAAGCCAGCUGCAGAAAGUAACACACUGUACAACCCCCUCAACAUGACAUUCCAGAAAAGGCAAAAGGCAAAAGUGUGGGACAGAUGGCAUGUCAGCGCUCGCCUGGGUGGAGGGGUACGGAGGAUGCUCUGGGCAGGUGGGACUGCCCUGAGUCUUGCUUGAGUCAGGUGGGACUGCCCUGAGUCUUGCUUGUGGGGCGCUUAUGUCAUUGCACCUAUUUGUCAAACCUUAUUAAGUGAUGCCUUUAAAAAGUGUAAUUUUUCUUUUUUUGAGAUGGAGUCACGCUCUGUUGCCAGGCUGGAGUGCAGUGGCAUGAUCUUGCCUCACUGCAACCUCUGCCUCCUGGGUUCAAAUGAUUCUCCUGCCUCAGCCUCCCUAGUGGCUGGGACUAUAGGUGCACCCCACCAUGCCCAGCUAAUUUUUGUAUUUUUAGUAGAGAUGGGGUUUCACCAUGUUGGCCAGGAUGGACUUGAUCUCUUGACCUUGCGAUCCACCCGCCUCGGCCUCCGAAAGUGCUGGGAUUACAGAUGUGAGCCACCACGCCCGGCCAAAAGCGUGAUUUUUAUUAGAAGUAAAUUGUACCACAAUAAACUUGAAAUCACAUA